Molecule: long non-coding RNA, 788 nt
Organism: Neolamprologus brichardi
Lineage: Eukaryota; Metazoa; Chordata; Actinopteri; Cichliformes; Cichlidae
Source: RefSeq, a predicted model, not a curated record
AGCUGGAGUUGGUGAGCAUCGGCACAACUGAAGACAACUCAGGACGAUUAAACUGUUCAAGGACUUUUCCACAAUGAUUCUCAAGAUCUGUUUCAUUCUGCUUCUGCUUGUCGCCAUUUCACAGAUAACAGAAGGGAAUUCAACCAUCACACCCACCACACCCACCACACCCCCAACCACAGCAAAAACCACAGCAAACAGCACAGCAGUCAUUAACAAAAUCAGCCUGACUUCUGUCACAAUGGCCGUCGUAGCUGCUGUGCUUCCAUAACAUAGUUACAGUUGUAACUAUGUUGUUACAACUAGCUUUUUUAACCAUGCAUUUGUCUGUGUAUUUUUCAUAUCCUAUCAAAGUGGGGAAGUUUCAAUAAGGGGAGGGAUGAUAAAUAAAAAGGGAUCUAAACUGUCUUUUGAACUCAUGUAAAUUAUCCAUUUUACUGUAUGCUUUCACAAGAUUGUGACUUUCUUUGUGGCAAAGGUCAACAAAUAAAAUGUUUACCAAUCAGAGGAAAUUGAUUCAAUCACACAUAUUAAGAUUUAUUGUGCUGACCAUCUAUUGUGAAAAUAGCUGUACCUAACCUGAUUUAUGGGAGAAUAUGUUAACUUCCUAACCAAUAAAUGACAAUAAUCACUUAAGUUUUGCUCUAUUUUGUGUAAUUCUGUCUGUUAACCAGCCUUUUUAUUUAUUCAGCAUCUUUGCACUCUGCCACUUUGCACAAUAAAUAUGACUGUGGCUGAUGUAUCUGUCAUGUUAUCAACUUUAUUAUGGACACUGAGAGCAAAGAAAA